CGGGUGCGUAACGCGUGGGAAUCUACCUUGUAGUGGGGGAUAGCCCGGAGAAAUCCGGAUUAAUACCGCAUAAUCUCUACGGAGCAAAGUGGGGGAUCUUCGGACCUCACGCUAUUGGAUGAGCCCGCGUUAGAUUAGCUUGUUGGUGAGGUAAUGGCUCACCAAGGCAACGAUCUAUAGCUGGUUUGAGAGGAUGAUCAGCCACACUGGGACUGAGACACGGCCCAG
RNAcentral lists this ribosomal RNA (228 nucleotides) under uncultured bacterium. Its description in RNAcentral is "partial 16S ribosomal RNA". It matches the Rfam family "Bacterial small subunit ribosomal RNA", at positions 103 to 334 of the family's 1533-position model. The record is from RNAcentral.